GACGAACGCUGGCGGCGUGCUUAACACAUGCAAGUCGAACGGAAAGGCCUCUUUCGGGGGGUACUCGAGUGGCGAACGGGUGAGUAACACGUGAGUAACCUGCCCUUGACUUUGGGAUAACUUCAGUAAACUGGGGCUAAUACCGGAUAGGAGCUCCUGCUGCAUGGUGGGGGUUGGAAAGUUUCGGCGGUUGGGGAUGGACUCGCGGCUUAUCAGCUUGUUGGUGGGGUAGUGGCUUACCAAGGCUUUGACGGGUAGCCGGCCUGAGAGGGUGACCGGCCACAUUGGGACUGAGAUACGGCCCAGACUCCUACGGGAGGCAGCAGUGGGGAAUAUUGCACAAUGGGUGGAAGCCGGAUGCAGCAACGCCGUGGGCGGGAUGACGGCCUUCGGGUUGUAAACCGCUUUCGCUCAUGACGAAGCUUUGUGUGACGGUAGUGGGUAAAGAAGCACCGGCUAACUACGUG
RNAcentral lists this ribosomal RNA (467 nucleotides) under uncultured bacterium. RNAcentral's name for it is "partial 16S ribosomal RNA". It matches the Rfam family "Bacterial small subunit ribosomal RNA", at positions 28 to 507 of the family's 1533-position model. The record is from RNAcentral.